Non-coding RNA from Cinara cedri, 223 nucleotides. Lineage: Eukaryota; Metazoa; Arthropoda; Insecta; Hemiptera; Aphididae. The record is from the annotation of a GenBank genome assembly.
ACCAUAUUUCAUUUUAGUUUUUUUGUUUCAAUCGUUUGCCAAUCAUAAUGAUUUAAUUUACUAUACUUAUCGAUAUUUCAUCUCUAUUUCCACAUUUACCAUAACGUUAUCAUGCUGUUAUAUCAUCUAUUGAGGAAAAUAUUAUUUUUUCGAAUAAAAAGUUAGAAACUAGAGUUGUUGUUUGAAAAUCGAUAUAGAUUUACGAUAAACGGAAGACUAAUGC